CCAGACUCCUACGGGAGGCAGCAGUGAGGAAUAUUGGUCAAUGGGCGAGAGCCUGAACCAGCCAAGUCGCGUGAGGGAAGACGGUCCUAUGGAUUGUAAACCUCUUUUGCCGGGGAGCAAAAAGCGGUACGUGUACCGCAUCGAGAGUACCCGGAGAAAAAGCAUCGGCUAACUCCGUGCCAGCAGCCGCGGUAAUACGGGGGAUGCGAGCGUUAUCCGGAUUUAUUGGGUUUAAAGGGUGCGUAGGCGGCGCUUCAGGUCAGCGGUGAAAUACCGGGGCUCAACCCCGGGGCUGCCGUUGAAACCGGAGCGCUAGAAUUCCGAUGCCGUCGGAGGAAUGUGUGGUGUAGCGGUGAAAUACAUAGAUAUCACGCAGAACUCCGAUUGCGAAGGCAGCAUACCGGCGCCCAACUGACGCUGAAGCACGAAAGCGUGGGUAUCGAACAGGAUUAGAUACCCUAGUAUG
RNAcentral lists this ribosomal RNA (466 nucleotides) under uncultured bacterium. RNAcentral's name for it is "bacterial SSU rRNA". It matches the Rfam family "Bacterial small subunit ribosomal RNA", at positions 331 to 794 of the family's 1533-position model. The record is from RNAcentral.